Molecule: ribosomal RNA, 252 nt
Filed under: uncultured bacterium
Lineage: Bacteria
Description: partial 16S ribosomal RNA
Rfam family: Bacterial small subunit ribosomal RNA
Source: RNAcentral
UACGUAGGCAGCGAGCGUUGUUCGGAGUUACUGGGCGUAAAGAGUGCGUAGGCGGUUUUCUAAGUUUGGUGUGAAAUCUCCCGCUUAACUGGGAGGGUGCGCCGAAGACUGGAAGGCUUGAGUAUGGGAGAGGUAAGCGGAAUUCCCAGUGUAGUGGUGAAAUACGUAGAGAUUGGGAAGAACACCAGUGGCGAAGGCGGCUAUCUGGACGGUUUCUGACACUAAGACUCGAAAGCGUGGGGAGCAAACAGG